GCCGCAGUGGUGAAAUUGGUAUACACGUACGCUUUAGGAGCGUAUACCGAAAGGUGUGGAGGUUCAAGUCCUCUCUGCGGCACAA
This 85-nucleotide transfer RNA is filed under the name Candidatus Shapirobacteria bacterium RIFOXYA1_FULL_39_17. Its description in RNAcentral is "tRNA-Leu". It matches the Rfam family "tRNA". From Rfam's summary of the family: Transfer RNA (tRNA) molecules are approximately 80 nucleotides in length. Lineage: Bacteria; Candidatus Shapironibacteriota. The record is from RNAcentral. RNAcentral also lists the same sequence under 2 other names.